AUAAUUUUUUUAUUCUUAUUAUGUUGAUUAUAUGUUUUUAUUUAUUUUUAAACUUGUUGUUUUUACCGGGCCUUUAAAACAAAUACAUGAAAACUUGUAAAAAUAACUAUAAAAUGAGUGACAAUUAGUAUUUGGGUCUUAAUGGGUUUUAAACGAAUAUAUAUAUUUCUCAUAAGAAGACAAUAGCAUUGGCAUGUUGACAUUGAUCAUGUAAGCUAUUUUCAUAAGACAAGAGAAGUGAGCAGGUGAAGAUGUUGUUGCCGCCUUUGUGUUUGUUGGGAUUGUCUCUUGUAUCUCCUGGUGUGGUCGUGUUUGUUUCACUUUUAUUUGGCGGGUAAUAUGUAAACAAAAAUCAUUGGUAGUUGUAUUUAUCAGCGUUUGUAACUUACUCUGCUUUUUAAAAAAAGUAAUUUCACUGAUAUUGGUUGACGUCAUAUUCUUCUUCGUAAACAUCUGCGAAAGUAAGUUUGUAAAUUGUUAAAUAGCUGGUUGUGUACUUUGUAUUUGUUUAGCUGACUCAAUGUAUGUGUCGUUGAGUUUUAGUUGAGUUGAUUGGUUUGAUAUAUUUGUUUUGAAGUUUAUUUGUAAGAUUGGACAAAAAGAGAAGUGAUCAUUGAUUCGUCUUUUUUGGGAUUCUAGUUUUUGGU
This 647-nucleotide long non-coding RNA is filed under the name Brassica napus (rape). Its description in RNAcentral is "long non-coding RNA (BNAP_LNC009169)". The record is from RNAcentral. Lineage: Eukaryota; Viridiplantae; Streptophyta; Magnoliopsida; Brassicales; Brassicaceae.